Molecule: ribosomal RNA, 699 nt
Filed under: Streptomyces sp. Sp080513KE-26
Lineage: Bacteria; Bacillati; Actinomycetota; Actinomycetes; Kitasatosporales; Streptomycetaceae
Description: bacterial SSU rRNA
Rfam family: Bacterial small subunit ribosomal RNA
Source: RNAcentral
CAUGCAAGUCGAACGAUGAAGCCCUUCGGGGUGGAUUAGUGGCGAACGGGUGAGUAACACGUGGGCAAUCUGCCCUUCACUCUGGGACAAGCCCUGGAAACGGGGUCUAAUACCGGAUAACACUCUGUCCCGCAUGGGACGGGGUUGAAAGCUCCGGCGGUGAAGGAUGAGCCCGCGGCCUAUCAGCUUGUUGGUGGGGUGAUGGCCUACCAAGGCGACGACGGGUAGCCGGCCUGAGAGGGCGACCGGCCACACUGGGACUGAGACACGGCCCAGACUCCUACGGGAGGCAGCAGUGGGGAAUAUUGCACAAUGGGCGAAAGCCUGAUGCAGCGACGCCGCGUGAGGGAUGACGGCCUUCGGGUUGUAAACCUCUUUCAGCAGGGAAGAAGCGAGAGUGACGGUACCUGCAGAAGAAGCGCCGGCUAACUACGUGCCAGCAGCCGCGGUAAUACGUAGGGCGCAAGCGUUGUCCGGAAUUAUUGGGCGUAAAGAGCUCGUAGGCGGCUUGUCGCGUCGGAUGUGAAAGCCCGGGGCUUAACCCCGGGUCUGCAUUCGAUACGGGCAGGCUAGAGUGUGGUAGGGGAGAUCGGAAUUCCUGGUGUAGCGGUGAAAUGCGCAGAUAUCAGGAGGAACACCGGUGGCGAAGGCGGAUCUCUGGGCCAUUACUGACGCUGAGGAGCGAAAGCGUGGGGAGCG